Molecule: transfer RNA, 72 nt
Filed under: Chloroflexia bacterium
Lineage: Bacteria; Bacillati; Chloroflexota; Chloroflexia
Also listed under: 1 other name
Description: tRNA-Ile
Rfam family: tRNA
About the family: Transfer RNA (tRNA) molecules are approximately 80 nucleotides in length.
Source: RNAcentral
GGGCCUGUAGCUCAGUGGUAGAGCAGGGGGCUCAUAACCUCUAGGUCGCAGGUUCGAUCCCUGCCAGGCCCA